UUGCCUUAAACUAAUGAGUAAGGAAAACAAAGCGGGUGGCGGGAGCUGCCCGCAGCGCACGUAAUACAGUUUUAUGCGCACAUAAUUUUUGGAGGGAUUAUAGGCUGGCCAAGUUGUGGAUGCUGCUUACUUAUGCAGAACCCUCUUGUGCGGGCCUCCCUAUCCC
This 166-nucleotide small nuclear RNA is filed under the name Zostera marina. Its description in RNAcentral is "U12 minor spliceosomal RNA". It matches the Rfam family "U12 minor spliceosomal RNA". From Rfam's summary of the family: Although the U12 sequence is very divergent from that of U2, the two are functionally analogous. Lineage: Eukaryota; Viridiplantae; Streptophyta; Magnoliopsida; Alismatales; Zosteraceae. The record is from Rfam by way of RNAcentral.